Molecule: ribosomal RNA, 535 nt
Filed under: Ochrobactrum sp.
Lineage: Bacteria; Pseudomonadati; Pseudomonadota; Alphaproteobacteria; Hyphomicrobiales; Brucellaceae
Description: bacterial SSU rRNA
Rfam family: Bacterial small subunit ribosomal RNA
Source: RNAcentral
GGGGAGCGGCAGACGGGUGAGUAACGCGUGGGAAUCUACCUUUUGCUACGGAAUAACUCAGGGAAACUUGUGCUAAUACCGUAUGUGCCCUUCGGGGGAAAGAUUUAUCGGCAAAGGAUGAGCCCGCGUUGGAUUAGCUAGUUGGUGGGGUAAAGGCCCACCAAGGCGACGAUCCAUAGCUGGUCUGAGAGGAUGAUCAGCCACACUGGGACUGAGACACGGCCCAGACUCCUACGGGAGGCAGCAGUGGGGAAUAUUGGACAAUGGGCGCAAGCCUGAUCCAGCCAUGCCGCGUGAGUGAUGAAGGCCCUAGGGUUGUAAAGCUCUUUCACCGGUGAAGAUAAUGACGGUAACCGGAGAAGAAGCCCCGGCUAACUUCGUGCCAGCAGCCGCGGUAAUACGAAGGGGGCUAGCGUUGUUCGGAUUUACUGGGCGUAAAGCGCACGUAGGCGGACUUUUAAGUCAGGGGUGAAAUCCCAGAGCUCAACUCUGGAACUGCCUUUGAUACUGGAAGUCUUGAGUAUGGUAGAGGUGA